RNAcentral lists this long non-coding RNA (210 nucleotides) under Nicotiana benthamiana. RNAcentral's name for it is "long non-coding RNA (NBEN_LNC026032)". Lineage: Eukaryota; Viridiplantae; Streptophyta; Magnoliopsida; Solanales; Solanaceae. The record is from RNAcentral.
UGAUCUUUGUUUGUCUUGUGCUUGAACUUCGUUACGUGAUAUUUGCACGCUUGUGCUUGGACCUCGUCAUAUGUCAAUUGCGCAUAGUUUGUCAUUUAUCAAAACCUACAAAUAUGAACACACGUUUAGUUUAGUGCCUUGAGAACGUGUUUCAACAUAAUACAAUAUAUACUAACAUUCGAGCUUUGGGUUUUGAAGGGCUAUUUCACC